Molecule: non-coding RNA, 488 nt
Organism: Nomia melanderi (Alkali bee)
Lineage: Eukaryota; Metazoa; Arthropoda; Insecta; Hymenoptera; Halictidae
Source: RefSeq, a predicted model, not a curated record
UCUUCACGUUUGUGUAAUGAUUAUCCUUCCUUCAGCAAUUCACUCAGCGUCCGUAUCUGCAGGCGCUUUAUCACGUACUAACAAAAUGGAAUCUUAUCGAACUAUCUACUCCAUUUUAAACGUUGGCUGACUAAUCAUUCCAAUAUAUAUAUAUAUUCUCCAUUUAAUUCGAGCUGUCAUAAGUAGUUUCAAAUUUUGUGUGUCGGUAAUAAACGUAUUACCGUAGCUUUGUACUGUACCAUUUUUCGAAAACUACAUCGACACUUCUGAAGUUUACAUAAAAUUUAUAAGAUAAUAAAUGAUUAUCAUAGUAAAUCUAAAAUAAAACAUGUUCUUUCAUUAAAAUAUAUGCAAUUAAAUUCGUCAUAAAAGCAGUUUCUUUCCCUGUGAUUAAAAGGGCAAUUAAUUUUCAAGAUUAUUUGGGUAAUCAAAUCGUAUGAUUACAAACCAUUCACAAAAAUAUUUAUAGUAGGAAAAGACAUAAAGAC